This 253-nucleotide ribosomal RNA is filed under the name uncultured bacterium. RNAcentral's name for it is "partial 16S ribosomal RNA". It matches the Rfam family "Bacterial small subunit ribosomal RNA", at positions 524 to 776 of the family's 1533-position model. The record is from RNAcentral.
UACGGAGGGUGCAAGCGUUACUCGGAAUCACUGGGCGUAAAGGGUGCGUAGGCGGCCUAGCAAGUCUGGUGUGAAAGCCCAGGGCUCAACCCUGGAAGGGCACUGGAAACUGUUAGGCUUGAGUUCCGGAGAGGAGGGGGGAAGUCCCGGUGUAGCGGUGAAAUGCGUAGAUAUCGGGAGGAAUACCGGUGGCGAAGGCGCCCCUCUGGACGGAAACUGACGCUGAGGCGCGAAAGCGUGGGGAGCAAACAGG